This 577-nucleotide long non-coding RNA is filed under the name Physcomitrium patens. Its description in RNAcentral is "long non-coding RNA (PPAT_LNC005896)". The record is from RNAcentral. Lineage: Eukaryota; Viridiplantae; Streptophyta; Bryopsida; Funariales; Funariaceae.
UAGGGUUUAGUUAGGAUUUGGUUUAGGAUUUAGGGUUCGUUAGGGUUAGGAUAUGGAUUAGGAUUUGGUUUAGGAUUUAGAGUUUGUUAGGGUUAGCAUCUGGAUUAGGAUUUGGUUUAGGAUUUAGGAUUUAGAAUUUGGUUUAGGAUUUGAUUUAGGGUUUAAAGUUUGGAUUAGAGUUUGGAUUAGGAUUUGGAUUUUGGUUUAGGAUUUGAUUUAGGAUUUGGUUAGGAAUUGAUUUAAGGUUUAGGAUUUGAUUAAGGUUUGAUUAGGAUUUGAUUUAGGAUUUAGGAUUUAUUUAGGAUUUGAUUAAGGUUAGAUUAGGAUUAGGGAUUGGUUAGAAUUUAAGGUUUUAUUAGAUUUUUGUUAAGGUUUGACUAAGUUUUCUUUAAUAUUCUUUUAUAUUUUUUUAGGAUUUCCUUGUGUUUCUUUUAUAACUUCAAUACAAUUUAAUUGAGCUUGCUUAAUGUUUGAUUAUGAUUAUUAAUGUUUAAUUAUAAAUUCUCUAUAAUUUUAUUGGAUUGUUAGGACCUUUUGUUACAAUUUUUUUUUAUCUUCCACAGCCAAGUGCUCGGUA